CCUACGGGGAGCAGCAGUGGGGAAUAUUGGGCAAUGGAGGCAACUCUGACCCAGCAACGCCGCGUGAAUGAUGAAGGUCUUCGGAUUGUAAAGUUCUUUUCUAAGGGAAGAAGCAAGACGGUACCUGACUAAGAAGCCCCGGCUAACUACGUGCCAGCAGCCGCGGUAAUACGUAGGGGGCGAGCGUUAUCCGGAUUCACUGGGUGUAAAGGGAGCGUAGACGGCCAUGCAAGCCAGGGGUGAAAGCCCGGGGCCCAACCCCGGGACUGCCCUUGGAACUGCAUGGCUGGAGUGCGGGAGGGGCAGGCGGAAUUCCUGGUGUAGCGGUGAAAUGCGUAGAUAUCAGGAGGAACACCGGCGGCGAAGGCGGCCUGCUGGACCUCGACUGACGUUGAGGCUCGAAAGCGUGGGGAGCGAACAGGAUUAGAUACCCCAGUAGUC
Molecule: ribosomal RNA, 441 nt
Filed under: uncultured bacterium
Lineage: Bacteria
Description: partial 16S ribosomal RNA
Rfam family: Bacterial small subunit ribosomal RNA
Source: RNAcentral